Molecule: long non-coding RNA, 250 nt
Filed under: Carica papaya (papaya)
Lineage: Eukaryota; Viridiplantae; Streptophyta; Magnoliopsida; Brassicales; Caricaceae
Description: long non-coding RNA (CPAP_LNC008726)
Source: RNAcentral
UAAGCAAUUUAGGCAAUAUAAAAAAUAAAUAGACAACACAGACAAGAUAGGAAAAUCGUACACUAACCAAUUUCUAGCUCCACUAGUGACCUGUAAUUAUUUUUAGAAUUUUUCUAAUUUUUCACAAAUAUAAGAUAUUCGAUUAUUAAGCCUCAGUUUACCGUAAUAGGGAGUAGGGUGAGAGAUUCUUACCUAAAUCAGUGUUUCGAAAUGUCGAUCUAUCUACUAUGCAUCUUGAUAGUCCUCGGAU